This 458-nucleotide ribosomal RNA is filed under the name uncultured anaerobic ammonium-oxidizing bacterium. RNAcentral's name for it is "bacterial SSU rRNA". It matches the Rfam family "Bacterial small subunit ribosomal RNA", at positions 369 to 817 of the family's 1533-position model. The record is from RNAcentral.
CAAUGCCCGAAAGGGUGACGAAGCGACGCCGCGUGUGGGAAGAAGGCCUUCGGGUUGUAAACCACUGUCGGGAGUUAGGAAAUGUAAGGGUGCUAAUAGUAUCCUUACUUGACUAAGGCUCCGGAGGAAGCCACGGCUAACUCUGUGCCAGCAGCCGCGGUAAUACAGAGGCGGCAAGCGUUGUUCGGAAUUAUUGGGCGUAAAGAGCACGUAGGCGGCCUUGUAAGUCAGUUGUGAAAGCCUUCUGCUUAACGGAAGAACAGCAGCUGAUACUGCAAGGCUAGAGUGCGGAAGGGGAGAGUGGAACUUCUGGUGGAGCGGUGAAAUGCGUAGAUAUCAGAAGGAACACCGGCGGCGAAGGCGACUCUCUGGUCCGUAACUGACGCUGAGUGUGCGAAAGCUAGGGGAGCAAACGGGAUUAGAUACCCCGGUAGUCCUAGCCGUAAACGAUGGGCACU